Molecule: non-coding RNA, 205 nt
Filed under: Novosphingobium sp.
Lineage: Bacteria; Pseudomonadati; Pseudomonadota; Alphaproteobacteria; Sphingomonadales; Sphingomonadaceae
Source: RNAcentral
CGGCGCGGCUACGUCAUGGGUGCCCGCACAUACGGGCCUAAGAGGGAAGCCGGCCGAAACUGCCGGCGCUGCCCCCGCAACUGUGACCGGAGAGCCUGUCUCCACACGCGCCACUGGCCGCCGUUCCUGAAGAGGAGCGCGCUGGGAAGGCGGGGGCGGGCGAUGAUCCGGGAGCCAGGAGACCUGCCCAAGACGGUCGUUCCGU